UUGUCCUGUGAUACAAUUUCUAAGGGCUGU
RNAcentral lists this non-coding RNA (30 nucleotides) under Mus musculus (house mouse). The record is from RNAcentral. Lineage: Eukaryota; Metazoa; Chordata; Mammalia; Rodentia; Muridae.